GAGUAACGCGUGAGAACCUGCCUUCAGAAUGGGGACAACAGUUGGAAACGACUGCUAAUACCCAAUGUGCCGAAAGGUGAAAGAUUUAUCGUCUGAAGAUGGGCUCGCGUCUGAUUAGCUAGAUGGUGGGGUAAGAGCCUACCAUGGCAACGAUCAGUAGCUGGUCUGAGAGGAUGAGCAGCCACACUGGGACUGAGACACGGCCCAGACUCCUACGGGAGGCAGCAGUGGGGAAUUUUCCGCAAUGGGCGAAAGCCUGACGGAGCAAUACCGCGUGAGGGAGGAAGGUCCUUGGAUUGUAAACCUCUUUUAUCAGGGAAGAAGUUCUGACGGUACCUGAUGAAUAAGCAUCGGCUAACUCCGUGCCAGCAGCCGCGGUAAUACGGAGGAUGCAAGCGUUAUCCGGAAUUAUUGGGCGUAAAGCGUCCGUAGGUGGUUUUUCAAGUCUGCUGUUAAAGAAUGGAGCUUAACUCCAUAGGAGCGGUGGAAACUGAGAGACUAGAGUACAGUAGGGGUAGCAGGAAUUCCCAGUGUAGCGGUGAAAUGCGUAGAUAUUGGGAAGAACAUCGGUGGCGAAAGCGUGCUACUGGCUGAAACUGACACUGAG
This 607-nucleotide ribosomal RNA is filed under the name Synechocystis salina LEGE 00037. RNAcentral's name for it is "bacterial SSU rRNA". It matches the Rfam family "Bacterial small subunit ribosomal RNA", at positions 108 to 750 of the family's 1533-position model. The record is from RNAcentral. Lineage: Bacteria; Bacillati; Cyanobacteriota; Cyanophyceae; Synechococcales; Merismopediaceae.